GAUGAAGAACGUAGCGAAAUGCGAUACUUGGUGUGAAUUGCAGAAUCCCGUGAACCAUCGAGUCUUUGAACGCAAGUUGCGCCCGAAGCCAUUAGGCCGAGGGCACGCCUGCCUGGGCGUCACACGUCGUUGCCCCCCCAUCUACUCCUUCGGGAUUGCGGGGGGCGGAUGAUGGCCUCCCGUGCGCCACGCCGCGCGGUUGGCAUAAAUGCCAAGUCCUCGGCGACGCACGCCACGACAAUCGGUGGUUGCGAAACCUCGGUUGCCUGUCGUGUGCGGUCGUCGCGCAUCGAGGGCUCGAAAAAAUUGCCGGGUUCCGGCUCGGCUUUCAACGCGACCCCAGGUCAGGCGGGGUUACCCGCUGAAUUUAAGCAUAUCAAUAAGCGGAGGA
This 391-nucleotide unclassified non-coding RNA is filed under the name soil metagenome. Its description in RNAcentral is "partial contains 5.8S ribosomal RNA, internal transcribed spacer 2, and large subunit ribosomal RNA". The stretch from base 1 to 122 matches the Rfam family "5.8S ribosomal RNA", at positions 35 to 154 of the family's 154-position model. The record is from RNAcentral.